CUCAAUGAUAUAUUAAACCUACCAUAAAUGAACUGACCAAUAUUCAUAUCUAAUUUCUUUUUAGAUGAGUCAACACCACACAGGAAAGCAGCCGGUUGCCCAGAGCUGGAUGG
This is a long non-coding RNA of Etheostoma spectabile (orangethroat darter), 113 nucleotides long. RefSeq lists it as uncharacterized. Lineage: Eukaryota; Metazoa; Chordata; Actinopteri; Perciformes; Percidae. The transcript is spliced from 3 exons. The record is from RefSeq and is a predicted model, not a curated record.